AACAGUAAUUUAGAAAACCUUUUGGUUUUUAUUAUCCUUGUUUUUGCUUAGCCAAUCUCCUCGUAAGCAUUUGGCUGCAGCAAUGUUACAAAAGUUUGCCCAAACACUGGAUUAGCAAAUGGAUUUUUAGAUUAAAAGAUAAUACGUUGCAAAUGCAUGGUUACCAAAUAUCUUUUGCCCCCAUAUUUAGAAAUAACAUACAGAAAUCAAAACAGACCUUGAUGAAAGCUCCUUUCUUGCUUUGGCACAGAAUCUAGUGUUAGAUUCAGAGAGAUUCUGAAUGGACUAAAUAGUGCACUGUAAGAGGUUUUACAAAGAGGAAGGAAAGAGGGAAAAAAACAAGCUUUUCUUCUAAUGCUGGUGGUUCCUGCUAGCUGCAGUGACUUUCUGCAGUUUUCCUGAUUUCUUUACAGAUUUUAUAGCUUAUAUUCAGUCAUCAAAUCUCUCUGCUUCUGCUCUGGUAUUCAGUAACAUAAAUGCCUUAGCCGUCAAGCCCUCAUGAUCUCAAUAAUUCUUGACAGAAGAAGCAUAUUCUGAAGGAUGGCAGCCUCCUGUCCACACUACUCCAUUUCACUGGUCAGGGCUCUGAGGCUCUGGGACACAGCCUUGACUGGGUCAACUGCCAUGCAGAAAUUAAUAUUUCAAAUAGACUGUCAGAUCUUUAUGCUCUGAAGGGUUCUCAGAGCCUGGUGGCUCAGCAGCGUAUGUCUGCCUACAGCACGCCAAUGCCAAGCAUCGACAGAGAGAGGUCACCAAGCAUGAAGCUGCUGAAGCAGGCAACACUGGAAAUCUUGGAUACCUCUCGAUAGAUCAAGAAAUCAUUUGGAAGGAGCCAUGAAAUUCCAACAUAAAAGAAUUAGCCUUGCAAAAACCUCUUCUAUUUUACCUCAUAUAUUGUUCAACUCAUAACACUGGGAUAUCUUAGCCUACAGUGAGAACUCAUUUUUAUCUAAUACACAUAAUUAGGCCAAAUCAAUGGAUUACAGAUUAAACAAGCAGGGAAUUUAACUAUGACUGGAAGAACAUUAUGGAUCAGAAGUCCUAAUAAUAUAUGGCCAUCAUUUUAAAAUGCUGGUUAUUUAUUGAAAAUUUUAUCUUGAAGUGGCCUGCAAGAAACUAGCAGCUUUUAAGUUCUUACUAAUUUACUUCACUUGACAACAAAUAUUUAUUUACAUUAAUUUCACAUUUGGUCACAUAUUGAAUGGUUACUGAGCCCUGAGUUUUGCUUGUUUUAAAAUAAAACUGUUAGGUCCUUUGCUUGUUGUUAAAUA
RNAcentral lists this long non-coding RNA (1271 nucleotides) under Cyanistes caeruleus (blue tit). RNAcentral's name for it is "lncRNA (ENSCCEG00000015708.1)". Lineage: Eukaryota; Metazoa; Chordata; Aves; Passeriformes; Paridae. The record is from RNAcentral.